UCCAUAUUAAAUCCCUGUACAGCCAGCAGGAAAUUCCAAUCAAAUAUACUAAGGACAUCAUUACAUGUCAAAAAUUAUAUAUUCUGGAUACUUUAGGUAAAUAAACACAUGUUUAAAUAUGUAAUAGCAAUAAUGCAUUUCUUAUUAUCCUGUACUGAAAUAUUAUGGAUAAUUAAACACCCAUCGGAAUUUCACAAGGAAGACAUUUCAUCUUCU
Pelobates cultripes (western spadefoot toad) is the source of this 216-nucleotide non-coding RNA. The record is from the annotation of a GenBank genome assembly. NCBI's taxonomy places the organism in Eukaryota, Metazoa, Chordata, Amphibia, Anura, Pelobatidae.